GAGGGUGUACUAGCAGCAGUACGAGGAGGAGUAGCAAGAGGAGAAGGAGUAGCAGCAACAGGAGCAGGAGUAACAGAAGGUGAACUAGCAGCAGUACUAGGAGGAGUAGCAGGAGAAGGAGGAGCAGAAAUAGGAGCAGGAGUAACAGACGGUGUACUAGCAGCAGUACUAGGAGGAGUAGCAGGAGGAGCAGCAACAGGAGUAUUGGUACUGGCUUUGGGAAUACCAGCAGGAAGAGCAGGAGCAGGUGUAGCAGCAGUUGCAGGAGUAGCAUUUGCAGAGAUUUUUCAAAAACUUACGCCGAAAUCUACAAAAGGCAGGUGGAAAAGAGAAAGCCUCGAAAAAUGUAGUACAGAUCUGGUUAAGAACAAUUAAACUACCUGAGAGUAUA
This is a long non-coding RNA of Oncorhynchus tshawytscha (Chinook salmon), 391 nucleotides long. The record is from Ensembl. NCBI's taxonomy places the organism in Eukaryota, Metazoa, Chordata, Actinopteri, Salmoniformes, Salmonidae.